RNAcentral lists this small RNA (442 nucleotides) under Pongo abelii (Sumatran orangutan). RNAcentral's name for it is "retained intron". Lineage: Eukaryota; Metazoa; Chordata; Mammalia; Primates; Hominidae. The record is from RNAcentral.
AGCCUGAAGCGGAAGUGGAGGAAAGAUGGAGGGUGGUGGUUGGGACCGUGAAAUGAGCGCGCGAGUGAUUGGCUGGUGGACAGAAGGCACUGCAGCCUGAAAUGGCAGAGUCUGGUGCUGACGAUCCGCGAGAAGAUCAAUGCUGCCAUCCAGGAUAUGCCAGAGAGCGAAGAGAUCGCCCAGCUGCUGUCUGGGUCCUACAUUCACUACUUUCACUGCCUAAGAAUCCUGGACCUUCUCAAAGGCACAGAGGCCUCCACGAAAAAUAUUUUUGGCCGAUACUCUUCACAGCGGAUGAAGGAUUGGCAGGAGAUUAUAGCCCUGUAUGAGAAGGACAACACCUACUUAGGUAAAGUGGCCUGGCCUGGGAGCCCUGGUAUCCAUGGGGAAGCCCACUCUCAGAGUUCUGAGAUACCAGGCUUAUAGGAGGCACAGUCUGUGA